RNAcentral lists this ribosomal RNA (1894 nucleotides) under Triticum aestivum (bread wheat). RNAcentral's name for it is "partial small subunit ribosomal RNA". Lineage: Eukaryota; Viridiplantae; Streptophyta; Magnoliopsida; Poales; Poaceae. The record is from RNAcentral.
GGGUCCCUGUUUUGUCUUGUUGGUUGGGGUGGGGGGCAAGGUCUCGCGCUAGUGUGUUGUCUCGCCAUCGUCAAGGACCCGGCAAGGGCGGGGCCGGCCGCGGUACCUGAAGCAGAAGCACCUCUUCGAGGAGCACCCGGAGGACCGCCGGCACCACCCGCGGUAGCACCACAGGUUCUAGGCCCCGGCGUUCGACUCCGACGGCGGCCCGGGGAAGGGCCAGGGGUAGAAGCCGUUGACCGACGUCCAGCCGCUGCUGGACUUGGUGGCGUUGGACCGCCGCUACCGCGCGUUCAAGCCGCUCCAGAAGGAGGAGGCGUACCCGGUCGCGUUGGACCACCACCAGAGGAGCGGCGGCGACCGCGCGCUCCACGAGGUGUGCGUCCCGCACCUCAAGCCCAGGGCGUGGGCGUUGCACCACAAGCUGUAGAAGUGGCCGCUCCCGGUCCUGUACCACAAGUGGCACAUGCCGCUGGUGACCGCUUUCUACGCCGCGUAGUACUGCCACGGGAAGAAGUGGUUGUUCCACCACGUCGUCAUGGCCGGGCCCACCCUCCGGCUCCGCCGGAAGCACCACCUGUUGCAGGCGCGGCUGGGGUCCCGGCGGUGGCUGCCGCAGCACGAGGCGGCGGUGGACGUCGAGUACUACAUGUUGUUGUACAUGGCGUAGUACAAGCUGGCCGCCAAGCUCUCGUACCUGCUGGGCGACAAGGAGGCGGAGGCCCGCGAGUUGCCGCUCGCGUCGGCGGAGCGCGUCUCGAAGCUCAUGUUGAUGCCGCUGAAGUAGGGGUAGGAGGCGGGGAAGGAGGCGCCGAUGGAGGCCGAGACGUUCCUCCAGUUCCUCUGGGCGGAGUUCGAGAAGUUCCUAAUGAAGGACCUGCUCUCCUUCUUCGACCACUCGUGGUUCCGGUACCUGUUGUUGCCACCCGAGUUCACGCGGUAACUAGUGUAGGACCUCCGACUCGUCUUCCCCCUCUAGUUGCUCCUGUUGCAGGAGAUGUAGUAGCUCUUGUAGUUGCAGCGGCGCUAGCUCUGCUGCGACACCAGCUAGCUCACCCCCGACCGCCUCGACCACUUGGUGGGCCUCUAGGUCGUCUUCGACGCCCUGCUCUACCUGCGCCACGACCCGCAGCCCGUGGUCUAGUGCCUCGGCCUGUGCGUGUCCGAGGGGAUGGACGUCCGCCACUAGUUCCUCUGCGAGGCCGACGCGUACCGGUAGGGCGACGACCACGGGGUGUACUUGGAGGUGCUGCGGUUCGAGCGGCCGAUGUUGUAGGGGCGGCUCUCGUUCUAGGAGCAGUUGCGGACCAAGGAGCGGUUGUUGGGGCUCGUCACCUUCGCCGGGCUGCUCAAGGCGGGGCUCUCCAAGGAGCUCCUCCUCUUCGUGCACCUCCGGUUGCCGUUGCUGAAGUCCAUGGACGGGAAGCCGCAGCCGGCAGCCUCGACGGGGCCGUAGUAGGAGCGCGAGGGGUAGGAGCCGUAGUGGUAGCCGGCGGAGCAGGUCUUGAAGCACGAGAGCGGCGGCGGGCCGGUCCUGUUCGAACUGUGCUGACUCUUCCCGCCGGUCAAGUCGGAGGUGUAGGAGUUCGUGAGGUGGUAGCACCGGUUCGGGUCCCACAAGAUCUCGUCGCGGCACGGCCUGAUAGACAGUGUCUCAUCUGUGUGCAAAGCAAUUACAAUAGGCGUUCUUUGUCUCCUCGACUUCUUUCCGGUUUGGACUACGACGCUAUUUAAUUUCAAUUUAAGAACUUUAGAACUACUAAAAAAGUAUUUGCUUUAUUGAGAGGGAGACAACAUUAAAAGAACUAAGUAGACAUUGCUAGUGAACACGCCUGUCAAGAACUAAUAUGCUUUUUGAACGGAUGUUGGGAUACCUUUUCCUGCGUAAGAAGAA